Molecule: non-coding RNA, 70 nt
Organism: Phrynosoma platyrhinos (Desert horned lizard)
Lineage: Eukaryota; Metazoa; Chordata; Lepidosauria; Squamata; Phrynosomatidae
Source: the annotation of a GenBank genome assembly
GCCAGCAUGCUGUAGUGGUUUGAGUUAGACUAAAAAUCUGGAGAUCAGGGUUCGAUUCCCUGUUCAUCCA